UGCGGUCUGCGCCUCUCGACAGGAACUCACAAUCCCUGGGGCCAUACCCGAUCUUGAGGGAGCUGUCCCUGUCCAGGCCCGUGGGCUUGGUCAUAUGGCGCCCACCUACUUUGUAGGCUCCCAGGAUCGUACCUCUCCAUCGGUUGCCGUGGAUCGCAC
RNAcentral lists this non-coding RNA (159 nucleotides) under Allorhizobium paknamense. RNAcentral's name for it is "6S RNA". It matches the Rfam family "6S / SsrS RNA". From Rfam's summary of the family: E. coli 6S RNA was the first non coding RNA to be sequenced, but its function was unknown until recently. Lineage: Bacteria; Pseudomonadati; Pseudomonadota; Alphaproteobacteria; Hyphomicrobiales; Rhizobiaceae. The record is from RNAcentral.